AAAAAAGCAGGGACUCAUUGCCUCUGUGAAUGGGUCUUUCGUAAACUUCAGGGAAAGUACCUAACAUUGUUAUUGGGUGAACCUCUGAACUUUUUUUUAGUGGCAGCAAGGUUCAGUAAAUGAUGUCACAUUU
Small nucleolar RNA from Malania oleifera, 133 nucleotides. RefSeq annotates it as small nucleolar RNA snoR74. The record is from RefSeq and is a predicted model, not a curated record. NCBI's taxonomy places the organism in Eukaryota, Viridiplantae, Streptophyta, Magnoliopsida, Santalales, Ximeniaceae. The transcript has a single exon.